Long non-coding RNA from Frieseomelitta varia, 4429 nucleotides. RefSeq lists it as uncharacterized. Lineage: Eukaryota; Metazoa; Arthropoda; Insecta; Hymenoptera; Apidae. The transcript is spliced from 2 exons. The record is from RefSeq and is a predicted model, not a curated record.
CGGCCAAUUACAGCGCUCGUCCGACUAUAUUAAGCCAAUCAAGAACAGUUUAUCGCUCAGUCGUCAGUCUGCAGUUGUGAUGCGUGUGUCGUGCGCGUGUUUUUCCUUCUUCUCUCUUCUCAAAUGAUUCUUAAACAUUGUGAAACAAACGAAUCGCGUGAAAGAAAGAAAAAAAAAAGAAAGAAGAGGAACGUUUGUCACGAAUUGCUCGUGAUUGUCUGCUAUUUUUUUUUAACGUUUAAUCGUUCAGUGAUUCAGAUCGCCUUUCAUUUACCUCUUUUAGGCGCGGUGAUUUUUUUUCGCAAACAUUUAAAAUUGCUUGACUGAGUCCGAACAAUAUCGAAGUCGCAGUUUGUUUAAUUGAAUUUUGAAUAUUUCGUUAUUUGCAGUUAUUCGUCGAACGUGCGGGGAAGAACUGUGUAAAAAAAACGCAAGAGAAGCACGUGAAAGAGCUUGGAAUGAUAUGCAUUUUAUUAUAUACGGCCUGUACGAUAAGCUUAUUCAUUUCUAGUGACGGUUUGUAUUUCGAUUUUGUAAGAUUGCUUUUUUGUGAUUAACGUGUAUUUUCUCUCUUUGUUAACUUUUCAUUGAUCGAUUGAACUUGAAAUAAUUCGAUAGUCUUCUCGAAACUCCUGUUCGAAACAACAGUGUGGUGUUACUGAAAGAUUUCGACAAUAUUCGAACAACGUUAAAAGAACUUGAAUGAAUGAACGUCGAAUUAUUCCGAAGAAUUAUGUAGCUACACCGACUUGUUACAUUAAUAAGUGCGAAAGAAUGCAUCAAUGGAUACUAGUGUCAAAUAGAAGUUAGAGGUCAUGAGAUUUCCUCCAAUUGUUCAAUCAAGUCAGACUAUUUUAUUUCUUUGAACACCAUGUGCAGCCAACUUCACAUCAAUAUACAAACGUCGAUACAGUAUUUCGUAAAAACUUUCAAGUAUCACUGAUCACGUGCUUCACACCGUAGGAAAUUCAUUGUUUAGCAGUCCACCGCAAUGAGGUUCCGAUUGCACGCGUUAGAUAUACAUAUAUAACAGAAGCAUAUUCUUAUUUCUCUCAUAAAUACAUUCACCGUCACGCAAACAAAAUUAACUCUUAAGCUAUCUCCGAUGAAUAUUCUACUACUAAUAUAAGAGUUCCGAGAAACGUUGAUCUAAUAAAAUUAGUCGAAGCUAACGAAAUUUCAUCCACAUAGCUGAUCGAUCGGCUUUUCUUUUUUCGAUUGUUCAGUCUAGAAAUCAGAUUGCAUGAGUCACUUUUCUACCUCUGUAUCCGCAAAUUAGAUAGAAUUUUUCGAAGUAUAUUUUCCUCGCUUACAACAUCUGAGAAAUGAGAUCAUAUGUGACCACACGCAUAACAACCUCGCAAAAGUAUCGUUUCAAUCUGACACUCGAUGAAACGCAUAGAAGUCUCGAGAAGAAACAAGGAGAAAAAGAAGACGAAUGCGAUAUCCUCGCGUAACAAUCGCGGAAACGAUAAAAGAGACGAAAACUCCCAUGAAAACAAGUGACUUCUCUUGCAUUGCCAAGAAUGUGUUAGAGGCACGACGACUUCGUUGUUUAACAGAUUGCCAUGAAAGGAAACGUAAUUGGAGACAUUUUGUUAUUCUGAAAAUAUAACGGCACGCAGUAUGCGUUGGUUAGACUUUAUCGUCGUGACUUCUUGACCCCUCUCGAAUGAUAGUAUAAAACACGAGAAACGGGAGCCUCGAAGAAAAUCGAGUUCCUAGAAUUCAAAUAUAACUAAACUUUCAAACAAAGAUCCUUCAAUGAGAGAGAAUGUAAUAAAAUUUUUCUUCGCUUUCUUUCUUCUAUAUUUCGCUCGCGUUCUGCGUUUCGUUUGAGAAUGACAUAACCUCUAUGCAUUAAAAAUUAUAGUCGCUGCAGAAAAAUCGUAAAAUAUGUUGAUCUUGUUUCGAAACGCGUCGUUCUUAAAAUAGAAUAUUUUCGGUCGCGGAGCUGAAACAGAGGUCAUGCUUUUCAAGGCCCCGCGAAUUUUUAUACAAAACACCGCCUGUGUUUCUCGAGUAAUAGUCAACUUUUUCAAGUAUUAUCUCAAAGGCGAAGAAGGGCUCGAGUUUUUGCCAUUUGAAGAGUAUUUCCUUCGUUCGUUUCUUGGAAUUCCUCCUCUGCUCGUUCUGUCAUCCACCCACAAUUUGCGCAUCGUAGCCUAAUAAAUUGACGAGUUAUUUCACGAAUACCCAGAGGGAGCCGACAUUAACAGAAAUUAGCGUUAAUUGAUGGUAUUCUCCUUCCCUUUUCGUCCUCCUCGUUUUUCUCUCUUGCCCUCUCUACUUUCCAGAUGAUCUCGCGAUCUCCUUCCCUUUCCUAUGAAUCUCGUAUCUCAUUUUUGCAUAGUACACCGUUUGUACUUUAUCAUUUUUGCUCGUCCCCUUUCUCUUUUAUUCCAACCAUCUUUUUUUUUUUUUUUUCGUAGCAUAUAUACUCUCUCAUUUGGCGCAUCCGAGUCGACGAACAUCGAAAAAACAAUUCACUGAAAGUACGCACGAACGUUGUAUGUGAAACAUGCGGCAGCAGAAGACGGCCACGCGUCCAGCUGAAUCUGCAACAGCCGCAACAUCGAAGUAAUCCUCUUUGGCUUAUGACGACUUUGCAUUUUUAACGCAAACAGUUUGAAACAAACCUCAUGCUGUGUUCUUACUGUUUCAAGUAUGAGACGAGUCGAAGAAAAACGGAUUGUUUGAAUUGUUUUUCUAAGUUUCGAUAGUAUAUGAAUGUUCUGUCUGAAGUUCCGGAGCAGUUCCAUGGAAAAAAUUGUUCGCCAACCUCGAGUUAUGCCAUGGAGGCGAACGAUGAAUACGGUGUUUGAUGAAACGAGAGGCGUUAAGUAGGGUCGCGGGGCAAAGAAAUCAAAGAUUCGAUUGUAGACUCUCCCUCUCUGUCGUGCGUGUAUACAUUUCCGUACGCGAUAUUACUUCCAAUCCUUCGUUUCUUUGCUCCGAUUUCAUUCUCGAUUUUUUUUUUUUUUUUCACAUCGAAACAGUUUAUUAUAUAUUUUAUUUUAAGGACCAAAAUGAUGUACCUAUCUUCCUAUUUUGCAGUACAAUUUAUCUGAAAAGAAAAAUCUAAUUUACUCUACGGUGUUUCAAUUGCAACUAAUUGAACGCGCUAAUUGAAAUUGUCAAUAUAAUGCUUAUGCAGUUCUAGGAUAUCUUCGGAAGCAUUUUUGAUACAUAUGGAUAUAAUGCUUGUGCAGUUCUAGGACAUUCUUCGGAAGCAGGCUAAAUUAUGUGUGGGAAGCAUACAAAUUUUCAAAACAGAAGCAACAAGUUUCAGUCCGGGACGAAAGCUCAACGUAAAGCACGAAAUUUUUUCGGAGACGAGCAAAGGAAGAAUGAACAGAGGCUGAAAUAGUGGGCGACUUUAAUGACUACUCGAGGUCGCUUCAAUGAGUACUACUGUGUGUCAUUGCAUCAUUAUAGUGUGUACGAUAUAUAGUGUACAGUGUACGGUACCACGUCCGGACUAAUAAUUAUAACAUAUAUCUUUUAUUGUCCGCACCGUUUUGUAAUGAUUUUAUCAGUAUAAGUAUCAGUUUUAUACGAUGAGAUUUUCCUUUGUUUCUUCUUCUUCCUUCUUUUUAAUUAAAAUUCUUGACUAAUUUAGUAUCAAAUAGAUAUUAAUUAAAAUAUUUCAAUUAUAAUUAAAAUUUUUGACUAAUGUAAUGUCAAAUAGAUAUAACCGUAAUAAAUCAGAUAUUUAUAAUUAAAGGGGGAAAAAAUUUAAUAAUUAGAUUCAAUAAUUAUGUAGAAAAAUGUUGCAAGCAAGGAUGUUUGUAAGAUAUAUUUCAUAAAUAGACUUAACUCAAUUGACUUAAGACUUCUAUCCCUUUCAUAAAAUGAUUGCAGUGUGCAUGCAGUGAAUGUGUCAUGCAAUAUCUAUGAACUACCGUAUUCUUCUGCCGAUUAUCUAAUCUCGCGCUAAAUUAUAACGAAACGUGGGCACUUUAUAUUAAAAUCUCUCCUUUGGCCUGUUUAAUUGUCUAUUAAUCGAUAAAUUCAAUUUUACUUACCUAAUUAAAAACUUAAAUUAACAAUUCGAAACAAUUCAAAAUGUAAGAAAUAAGUAAUUAAUUUUAUAAUAAUUUAUAGGGGUAUGUCACCAUUGCGUCAUCAAGAUUGUAUGGCUAUCAUAACAACGGAAGGACCACGAUACAUCGGAAGUUAAUCCUGUCUUGUUCAUAAGUACUAGUGCCGCAGGAGUGACUAGGUUGGGUUAAAAAUUGCCAUAUCUCCUGCUGCUCAAGUGCUUAUCAAUGGGUCCGGACUCACAUCUAUCUUUCAAAUCGUGUAUUGAAAUAAAAACCUGUUUAAAAUGAAAUUUUACAGAUAUCACCUAAAUGUACAAUGUAAAAGAAAUUAUAAUUUGCGUAUAUUAAUGUAAUAAUAAUGAAUAAAUAUUCUAUUUCAUAUU